GAUUAUGAUGAACAACGAUUCUGAUGAACAGCGAUGUGAUGAAGCAGUUGUUAGGAAGCGAUGAACGGCGAAUCUGAAGCGAUUAUGCAGAGAAGUGAUUCAGUGAAGUGCUUAUGAGAGAGAGGUAAGCGUUUGUGUUGAAGUGAUUUUGAAAAGUGAUUUUGAGAAGUGCUUAUGAGAGGCAAGCAAAAGAGAGAGGGAUGAGAGAGAGAGAGGGAUGAGAGAGAGUGGGAGAGAAACGUGAAGAAGCGAUUAUGAGAGAGAGUGAAAAGAAAAUUUGGAUUCUUCUCUCUGAAA
Molecule: long non-coding RNA, 297 nt
Filed under: Medicago truncatula (barrel medic)
Lineage: Eukaryota; Viridiplantae; Streptophyta; Magnoliopsida; Fabales; Fabaceae
Description: long non-coding RNA (MTRU_LNC008665)
Source: RNAcentral